This 272-nucleotide long non-coding RNA is filed under the name Ananas comosus (pineapple). RNAcentral's name for it is "long non-coding RNA (ACOM_LNC041842)". The record is from RNAcentral. Lineage: Eukaryota; Viridiplantae; Streptophyta; Magnoliopsida; Poales; Bromeliaceae.
GAGCAAGGACUAAAGGUGAGUACGAUCAAUCCUACAUUGAGGAUUCCAAGUUCAAUCCAUUCCUUAACUUUAAGGAAGACCAUGCUCAAUGACCCUUAACUCUAAGAUUGCAAUGUCAUAAUAUCUCAAUCAUUCUUUUCUUUGCAUUCUUUACCAACACUAGUGUCAUAUACACUACCAAGUUCUUGUACUCAUGCCACACUUGUUUUCUAAGUGCUAUGUUCUUGUUUUCAGGCCAAAUGCCACACUUGUUUUUCUAAGUGUUCUAGACU